CGGGGCUUAAAGUCUUGUAAUUGGAAUGAUGGGAAUUUAAACCUCUUCCAGAGUAUCAAUUGGAGGGCAAGUCUGGUGCCAGCAGCCGCGGUAAUUCCAGCUCCAAUAGCGUAUAUUAAAAUUGUUGCAGUUAAAAAGCUCGUAGUUGAAUUUCUGCUGCAUUGCUUGUGUCCCUCUGGGGUUUGUGCAUGUGGCUUUUUUCGGACGGAGUUUCUUUGUCUGAAUGUUUACUUUGAGAAAAUUAGAGUGCUCAAAGCAGGCUUUCGCCUUGAAUAGUUUAGCAUGGAAUAAUAAAGUAGGACUUUGGUUCUAUUUUGUUGGUUUUAGGUACCAAAGUAAUGGUUAAUAGGAACAGUUGGGGGCAUUCGUAUUUAACUGUCAGAGGUGAAAUUCUUAGAUUUGUUAAAGACGAACUACUGCGAAAGCAUUUGCCAAGGAUGUUUUCAUUAAUCAAGAAC
Molecule: ribosomal RNA, 458 nt
Filed under: Theileria annulata
Lineage: Eukaryota; Apicomplexa; Aconoidasida; Piroplasmida; Theileriidae
Description: SSU rRNA
Rfam family: Eukaryotic small subunit ribosomal RNA
Source: RNAcentral